GACGAACGCUGGCGGCGUGCCUAAUACAUGCAAGUCGAGCGGACCGAAUGGAAGCUUGCUUUCAUUCGGUUAGCGGCGGACGGGUGAGUAACACGUGGGUAACCUGCCCGUAAGACCGGGAUAACUCCGGGAAACCGGGGCUAAUACCGGAUAACACCGAAGACCGCAUGGUCUUCGGUUGAAAGGUGGCUUCGGCUACCACUUACGGAUGGGCCCGCGGCGCAUUAGCUAGUUGGUGAGGUAACGGCUCACCAAGGCGACGAUGCGUAGCCGGCCUGAGAGGAUGACCGGCCACACUGGGACUGAGACACGGCCCAGACUCCUACGGGAGGCAGCAGGAGGGAAUCUUCCGCAAUGGACGAAAGUCUGACGGAGCGACGCCGCGUGAGCGAAGAAGGUCUUCGGAUCGUAAAGCUCUGUUGUUAGGGACGAAGAAGUACCGUUCGAAUAGGGCGGUACGGUGACGGUACCUAACGAGAAAGCCCCGGCUAACUACGUG
This 499-nucleotide ribosomal RNA is filed under the name uncultured bacterium. RNAcentral describes it as "partial 16S ribosomal RNA". It matches the Rfam family "Bacterial small subunit ribosomal RNA", at positions 28 to 507 of the family's 1533-position model. The record is from RNAcentral.